AGUGAACGCUGGCGGUAGGCCUAACACAUGCAAGUCGAACGGCAGCACAGUAAGAGCUUGCUCUUACGGGUGGCGAGUGGCGGACGGGUGAGGAAUACAUCGGAAUCUACUUUUUCGUGGGGGAUAACGUAGGGAAACUUACGCUAAUACCGCAUACGACCUACGGGUGAAAGCAGGGGAUCUUCGGACCUUGCGCGAUUGACUGAGCCGAUGUCGGAUUAGCUAGUUGGCGGGGUAAAGGCCCACCAAGGCGACGAUCCGUAGCUGGUCUGAGAGGAUGAUCAGCCACACUGGAACUGAGACACGGUCCAGACUCCUACGGGAGGCAGCAGUGGGGAAUAUUGGACAAUGGGCGCAAGCCUGAUCCAGCCAUACCGCGUGGGUGAAGAAGGCCUUCGGGUUGUAAAGCCCUUUUGUUGGGAAAGAAAAGCAGUAGGUUAAUACCCCGCUGUUCUGACGGUACCCAAAGAAUAAGCACCGGCUAACUUCGUG
This 492-nucleotide ribosomal RNA is filed under the name uncultured bacterium. RNAcentral's name for it is "partial 16S ribosomal RNA". It matches the Rfam family "Bacterial small subunit ribosomal RNA", at positions 29 to 507 of the family's 1533-position model. The record is from RNAcentral.